Molecule: ribosomal RNA, 378 nt
Filed under: Triticum aestivum (bread wheat)
Lineage: Eukaryota; Viridiplantae; Streptophyta; Magnoliopsida; Poales; Poaceae
Description: partial small subunit ribosomal RNA
Source: RNAcentral
CGAGGGGCUGGCAAACCCGCGAUAGUUCGUGAGCUUCGUGAUCUCACAAGGCAACAUGCCCCCUCUAUCACAUGUAUCCUUGAAACACAAAUAGAGGGUUCUAGAGUUGAAAACACGGUUGGUUCUUUAGGAUAUAAUAAAAGCUUUGCUGUAAGCAGUUCUGGUAGAAGUGGAGGGCUAGGUAUUUUUUGGAACGAAGAAAUAAAGCUUGAGGUUGUGGGUUACUCAGAGUAUCAUAUUGAUGUUAUACUUGAUGAGAUGGUGGACAUUCAGACUAGGGUAGCUUUCGUCUACGGAGAGGCGAGAACAAAUGACGUUACAGAACAUGGGACACACUCUGUGGUAUUGCAGGAAUCAGCUCAAUGCCCUGGCUGGUGA